UACCAGCACCCCGAGUGGUCGGGACGAUUAUUGGGCCUAAAGCAUCCGUAGCCGGUCCUACAAGUCUUCCGUUAAAUCCACCUGCUUAACAGAUGGGCUGCGGAAGAUACUAUAGGGCUAGGAGGCGGGAGAGGCAAGCGGUACUCAGUGGGUAGGGGUAAAAUCCUCUGAUCCAUUGAAGACCACCAGUGGCGAAGGCGGCUUGCCAGAACGCGCUCGACGGUGAGGGAUGAAAACUGGGGGAGCAAACCGG
RNAcentral lists this ribosomal RNA (253 nucleotides) under uncultured bacterium. RNAcentral describes it as "partial 16S ribosomal RNA". It matches the Rfam family "Archaeal small subunit ribosomal RNA", at positions 474 to 727 of the family's 1478-position model. The record is from RNAcentral.